Molecule: ribosomal RNA, 251 nt
Filed under: uncultured prokaryote
Description: partial 16S ribosomal RNA
Rfam family: Bacterial small subunit ribosomal RNA
Source: RNAcentral
ACGUAGGGUGCGAGCGUUAAUCGGCCCUACUGGGCGUACCUCUUGCGGCUUCUUUUCUCUCCUCCCUUUUUUCCCUCCCCGGUCUUCCCCUGGGAAUGGCGCUUGUGACUGGCGGGCUGGAGUACGGCAGAGGGGGGUGGAAUUCCACGUGUAGCAGUGAAAUGCGUAGAGAUGUGGAGGAACACCGAUGGCGAAGGCAGCCCCCUGGGCCGAUACUGACGCUCAUGCACGAAAGCGUGGGGAGCAAACAG